Molecule: long non-coding RNA, 613 nt
Organism: Rhineura floridana
Lineage: Eukaryota; Metazoa; Chordata; Lepidosauria; Squamata; Rhineuridae
Exons: 3
Source: RefSeq, a predicted model, not a curated record
UGCCUCACUCUGAUGAGAGAGCCCUUCUCUGGAGUUAGGAAUGGUGGACCUUCAAGGGAGCAUGUUGGAGAGCCACCAGCCAUUUCCCUGCAGGAGCAACAAUGCUGUGCAGCAGGGUCGGCCCUGAGAAAAAGGGUUUCAGGACAGGAGAGCUUCAUUCUGAGAGAGAAAGGUACAAAAACUCCAAAUCAAGGUUCCAACGAGUCAAGGGAAUGCCAGCAUGCUCCACAAGCACAGAUAACAAAACUGUAACAGUUUGUUUGUAUUGUGCUACAGACUUUGUGAAACUGAGUUUGAACAUUUAUUUCGAGUUUUGGACUGGAUGACACCUUGAUGAUGCCUGAUGUGGAUAUGAUGACACUGUGAAAUGCCAGUUUAAUGGAAGAUCCUAACUUUAAAGCCUGAUGUGACGGCCUGCAGUCUGUUGGCUGUGGAAUAAAGAUUUCACAUGAAGACAACAGCUUUAAAUUGUUAUAGGUUUUCUAUAUAUGGCAUAUGUUGAAGCUUUUACUACUCUAUUUUGUACUUGUAUUAUCUGUAUCUUUAUUGUAUUUUUAACUUACUGCAUCUUGUUUUAUUUCUUUUAUAAGUCUUAGGUAUCAAAUAAUUUUUA